CCAUCAUUUAAAGAAAGCGUAAUAGCUCACUGGUCGAGUCGGCCUGCGCGGAAGAUGUAACGGGGCUAAACCAUGCACCGAAGCUGCGGCAGCGACGCUGAUGCGUUGUUGGGUAGGGGAGCGUUCUGUAAGCCUGUGAAGGUGGCCUGUGAGGGUUGCUGGAGGUAUCAGAAGUGCGAAUGCUGACAUAAGUAACGAUAAAGCGGGUGAAAAGCCCGCUCGCCGGAAGACCAAGGGUUCCUGUCCAACGUUAAUCGGGGCAGGGUGAGUCGACCCCUAAGGCGAGGCCGAAAGGCGUAGUCGAUGGGAAACGGGUUAAUAUUCCCGUACUUGGUGUUACUGCGAAGGGGGGACGGAGAAGGCUAUGUUGGCCGGGCGACGGUUGUCCCGGUUUAAGCGUGUAGGUGUGUGUUCCAGGUAAAUCCGGUUCACUUUAACACUGAGGCGUGAUGACGAGGCACUACGGUGCUGAAGCAACAAAUGCCCUGCUUCCAGGAAAAGCCUCUAAGCAUCAGGUAACAUCAAAUCGUACCCCAAACCGACACAGGUGGUCAGGUAGAGAAUACCAAGGCGCUUGAGAGAACUCGGGUGAAGGAACUAGGCAAAAUGGUGCCGUAACUUCGGGAGAAGGCACGCUGACACGUAGGUGAAGUGAUUUACUCAUGGAGCUGAAGUCAGUCGAAGAUACCAGCUGGCUGCAACUGUUUAUUAAAAACACAGCACUGUGCAAACACGAAAGUGGACGUAUACGGUGUGACGCCUGCCCGGUGCCGGAAGGUUAAUUGAUGGGGUCAGCGCAAGCGAAGCUCCUGAUCGAAGCCCCGGUAAACGGCGGCCGUAACUAUAACGGUCCUAAGGUAGCGAAAUUCCUUGUCGGGUAAGUUCCGACCUGCACGAAUGGCGUAAUGAUGGCCAGGCUGUCUCCACCCGAGACUCAGUGAAAUUGAACUCGCUGUGAAGAUGCAGUGUACCCGCGGCAAGACGGAAAGACCCCGUGAACCUUUACUAUAGCUUGACACUGAACAUUGAGCCUUGAUGUGUAGGAUAGGUGGGAGGCUUUGAAGUGUGGACGCCAGUCUGCAUGGAGCCGGCCUUGAAAUACCACCCUUUAAUGUUUGAUGUUCUAACGUGGACCCGU
RNAcentral lists this ribosomal RNA (1138 nucleotides) under Salmonella enterica. Its description in RNAcentral is "partial 23S ribosomal RNA". It matches the Rfam family "Bacterial large subunit ribosomal RNA", at positions 1116 to 2236 of the family's 2925-position model. Lineage: Bacteria; Pseudomonadati; Pseudomonadota; Gammaproteobacteria; Enterobacterales; Enterobacteriaceae. The record is from RNAcentral.